GACGAACGCUGGCGGCGUGCUUAACACAUGCAAGUCGAACGGUAAGGCCCUUCGGGGUACACGAGUGGCGAACGGGUGAGUAACACGUGGGUGAUCUGCCCUGCACUUCGGGAUAAGCCUGGGAAACUGGGUCUAAUACCGGAUAGGACCACUGCCUGCAUGGGUGGUGGUGGAAAGCUUUUGCGGUGUGGGAUGGGCCCGCGGCCUAUCAGCUUGUUGGUGGGGUGAUGGCCUACCAAGGCGACGACGGGUAGCCGGCCUGAGAGGGUGACCGGCCACGCUGGGACUGAUAUACGGCCCAGACUCCUACGGGAGGCAGCAGUGGGGAAUAUUGCACAAUGUGCGCAAGCCUGAUGCAGCGACGCCGCGUGGGGGAUGACGGCCUUCGGGUUGUAAACCUCUUUCAGCACCGACGAAGCGCAAGUGACGGUAGGUGCGGAAGAAGGACCGGCCAACUACGUGCCAGCAGCCGCAGUAA
RNAcentral lists this ribosomal RNA (478 nucleotides) under uncultured bacterium. Its description in RNAcentral is "partial 16S ribosomal RNA". It matches the Rfam family "Bacterial small subunit ribosomal RNA", at positions 28 to 523 of the family's 1533-position model. The record is from RNAcentral.